Molecule: ribosomal RNA, 323 nt
Filed under: uncultured bacterium
Lineage: Bacteria
Description: bacterial SSU rRNA
Rfam family: Bacterial small subunit ribosomal RNA
Source: RNAcentral
AGCGAACGUUAGCGGCGGGCUUAACACAUGCAAGUCGAACGCGAACACCCCUUCGGGGGUCAGUAGAGUGGCGGACGGGUGAGUAACACGUAGGUAAUCUGCCCUCUGGCGGGGGGACAACUGUCCGAAAGGACAGCUAAUACCGCAUAAGACCACGUCGCCUAAGGGCGCAGUGGUAAAAGGUGGCCUCUGCUUGCAAGCUACCACCAGAGGAUGAGCCUGCGCACCAUCAGCUAGUUGGUGGGGUAAUGGCCUACCAAGGCAAAGACGGUUAGCUGGUCUGAGAGGAUGAUCAGCCACACUGGCAUUGAAACACGGGCCAG